UGGGGAAUAUUGGGCAAUGGGCGAAAGCCUGACCCAGCAACGCCGCGUGAAGGAUGAAGGUUUUCGGAUCGUAAACUUCUUUGACCGGGGAAGAAAUUGACGGUACCCGGGGAACAAGCCACGGCUAACUACGUGCCAGCAGCCGCGGUAAUACGUAGGUGGCAAGCGUUAUCCGGAAUUACUGGGCGUAAAGGGCGUGUAGGCGGGAAGACAAGUCAGGAGUGAAAUCCCACGGCUUAACCGUGGAGCUGCUUCUGAAACUGUCUUUCUUGAGUAUCGGAGAGGAAAGUGGAAUUCCCAGUGUAGCGGUGAAAUGCGUAGAGAUUGGGAGGAACACCAGUGGCGAAGGCGACUUUCUGGACGAUUACUGACGCUGAGGCGCGAAAGCGUGGGGAGCAAACAGG
This 404-nucleotide ribosomal RNA is filed under the name uncultured bacterium. RNAcentral's name for it is "bacterial SSU rRNA". It matches the Rfam family "Bacterial small subunit ribosomal RNA", at positions 355 to 776 of the family's 1533-position model. The record is from RNAcentral.